RNAcentral lists this ribosomal RNA (255 nucleotides) under uncultured bacterium. RNAcentral's name for it is "partial 16S ribosomal RNA". It matches the Rfam family "Bacterial small subunit ribosomal RNA", at positions 524 to 776 of the family's 1533-position model. The record is from RNAcentral.
UACGUAGGGUGCGAGCGUUGUCCGGAAUUAUUGGGCGUAAAGAGCUCGUAGGCGGUGUGUCACGUCGGCCGUGAAAACCUGCAGCUUAACUGUGGGGCGUGCGGUCGAUACGGGCAUCACUGGAGUUCGGCAGGGGAGACUGGAAUUCCUGGUGUAGCGGUGAAAUGCGCAGAUAUCAGGAGGAACACCGGUGGCGAAGGCGGGUCUCUGGGCCGAUACUGACGCUGAGGAGCGAAAGCGUGGGGAGCAAACAGG